This 2325-nucleotide long non-coding RNA is filed under the name Haliotis rubra (blacklip abalone). Its description in RNAcentral is "uncharacterized LOC124276806". Lineage: Eukaryota; Metazoa; Mollusca; Gastropoda; Lepetellida; Haliotidae. The record is from RNAcentral.
GAACCUGUGUUUGAACAGCACUGUCAGGUUGACAAGCCCAGACUUCUAGGUCACACCAACAGCCACUGUCUCAACUUAUCUAUGCGUUAAGUGUACAGUGACUAUAUCAAGAAAAUAGGGACGAGAAAAUAUGACACGAUAUAGUCAAAUAUGAAGGAACAGAUUUUGCUUGGAUUAUGUGCUAUACUGUUAGGAUCACUGGUCAAAGCACCUGCACCUGAUGAAAACUUAGAAGUUAGUGACUUUGGAGCAGUAUAUGUGCAAUCAACAAAUUAUCCGAGGGAUUAUCCAAACAAUGAGAACUCGUGGAUGGAUGAUCCAGACCAAAUCUGAAGGUUAUGUGAUUGAUCUUCACACGAAGAAUUUCCAUCUUGAAUAUGACGAUAAUUGUCUCUUCGACUAUGUCUUCAACUUUAUGAUGGUCAAGAUGAUUCAGCGCCGUUUCUCGGCCGUUGGUGUGGCAGCAUCACUGGCCCAAACAAGCAGAAAUUACAGGACCAAGCUAUGUUCGUGAAAUUCCACUCAGAUGCUCAAGGACCAACUUAGGAUUCAAAUUUUAUAUUUCCGAAGAAAAGCCCCUGUGUAUUUCAAUACCAGCUACGUUGGACCCAUCAUUGGAGGAGUCAUUAGCAUAAUUGUGCUGUUGAUAAUCAUCCUCAUUUCAUGUGUGUUCUGUAGAAGAAGAAAAUCUUACAGAGACGACCAAAGUCCAAUAGAUCUCAACAGGAUUAAUAAUGGUUCCCAUGCAUCUAAUGACAACGUUUUCUCUCUACAUCCUGUCCCUGAUCACAUGGGUUCUGCACCCCCACCGUCUUAUGAUGAGGCUGUUAAACAUGACCCUCCACCGUAUUGUGAGGUGGUUUUCCUCCUCCGCAUACAUCCUUCAUGAUACAGUGGUGGUUGAAAUGUAAAGGCUCAAUGCCUAUUUGUGGAUAAUUCAAAACAUGUUUCAGAUAUACUUUCCUAUGUACAUAUAGUGCCACUGAAUAAAUUGAAUGCGAAAUAUGUUUGUGCAACAACCUUGAAUUCUUAUAGAAACUUUCGCUAUAGUUUCACAUGCUAUCAGGUGUGUGUACUGUGCGGGGUGAAACAUUUUGCAAUACCUGAACUCUUAUCGACAAACCAAGUGAGUGAAAAAUUGUUGCAAGCUAUGAUCAACACUUACUUGAUAUCUGCAGCAUGAAUGUGCUGUUAUUUCUUUAACAGAUUAUAAAUAUAUGGUCCGGAGAUAUAGUCAAUGCACGCUCAACUGUGGACAAAUAUAAUUCCCCCCAACAUUGUUGAAAUAACGAUCUUACUGAUGACAUGUCACGCUCUCAUUUCAAUUAUGAUGGAAUAUUUAGAACCACAAUUACACACACGGCGUGGAAAUUGUCAGAGGCUAAGGUGCAUAUGGUGUACACAUGUCUGGAGACGAAGGAAAAGAGCUCUGGUUCCCACACCAUCAUGCAUGGGACGGUUUACUGUGAAGGAUCAAGCAUGGUAUAGGGAUGCAUUUUCUUGCAGGUUGCAAGAUUGAUCUCUUCACCAUUCAUGGUAAUCUUAAUGGGCCACGGUAUUAUCAGGAGAUCCUUGAGAGGGCUGUAGACCCACAUAUUGAUAACCAUCCUCUAGUCACAAGACUUAUGUUUAUGAAUGACAGGCUUCCCAGAGCACGUGCUGUCAGCCCAGUUCUUGCAACAGAAUGCUGUUGAAACCAUCCACUGUGGCCAGUCAUGUGUCCAGAUAUCAAUCCCAUUGAGCAUCUGUGGGACACUUUUAGGUCGUCGUGUUCUGCAGAGACCUACCAGUGCAAACGUUCAAUGAACUGGACUACAGUUUUGCGUGAGAAAUUUGUAGAAUCAAAUCCGGGGUUGAUCUUUGAAUAAAUUGUUCGUGCAUGGAGGUCACACAAGAUACUGAUGGAAAGUCAGUAUUUGGACUUGCUAGACGUUAUUUUGAAUUGCGUGAACAAGAUGUGUGCAUUAUACUGGCAGCCAAGUCACGAAAGGAAAGAGAAAUUCGUGAUGUUUUGCAUUAAAUGAAGCCAUUUUCAAAAUUCAGUACUACCCUGACUUUGGACCCCAGUGCUAUAUAUAAAUUAAUACAGGUAUAAACGGUUCAUAAAAAGUUACUCAGUCUGAGAAAAUAAUACGGUCGUUGUUUAAAUGACUUCCAAAUGUGUAGUGUCCCAACAUUUCUAUCAAGUCUGGGGUUUCAAUUAUUCAAGUACCAUCAUUUUAUGUAUAUGAUUUGGCAUGCAAUGUAUCCCACUCUUUACAUGGUGUGUUUCCAAGACAUUCAACAUGCCAGUGACACGCUUAAAAAAAUCUAUGAGUACAAUAA